This is a long non-coding RNA of Panicum hallii, 590 nucleotides long. RefSeq lists it as uncharacterized. The record is from RefSeq and is a predicted model, not a curated record. The transcript is spliced from 2 exons. NCBI's taxonomy places the organism in Eukaryota, Viridiplantae, Streptophyta, Magnoliopsida, Poales, Poaceae.
GCUCGACUCCCGGCAACGGACGGCCGCCGCCGCCGCGACGGCGAGACCCGUGUCCCCGGCGUUGCGGCCACCUCCGAGCGACGGAUGGUGCGCACUGCGCACCAGGUUCUCAGCUUGAACGCGGCCGGCCAUGAGCUUGAUGGCGCCCCAAGUUUGACCGCGGGAAAUGGCAGCAGAGCGGUGGAGGAGCAGAACGAACAGCGGCGAUCGGAGUUGGCGCUCGGCGGUCAUGCCGGAAUCGUAGUGGUGUUGGCGGCGGCGUUGAGACUGGGGAGCAAUGGGUUGGUGCUGAGUUGCCGGGAGUUUGGAGGUGAGUUUCCUGAAGAGAUCCAGGGCAGAGAUUCUUGAAGCUAAAACACCCUGUUAUGUCAUCAUGGGCGCUGUGCUGCUGUACUGGCAAGAUGAAUACGUAUUCUUAUGUGUUCAUGCUACCUUAAUACUGUGCCAUUCCUUUCCAGCGGUAGGGCUUCAUUGGGCCAUUCAGGUCUCAUGUACAUUUUUCCUCCAGUUUUAGUGGUGAGGUGGUUAGCUGCUCAGCUCAGUUCAUCAGAGCACCCUAUGUGGCCUGGGAGAGUGUGAUUUGUGGUCUG